GCGAAGGUGGCGGAAUUAGUAGACGCGCUAGCUUCAGGUGUUAGUGUCCUUACGGACGUGGGGGUUCAAGUCCCCCCCCUCGCACCA
This 87-nucleotide transfer RNA is filed under the name Escherichia coli. RNAcentral's name for it is "tRNA-Leu". It matches the Rfam family "tRNA". From Rfam's summary of the family: Transfer RNA (tRNA) molecules are approximately 80 nucleotides in length. Their secondary structure includes four short double-helical elements and three loops (D, anti-codon, and T loops). RNAcentral also lists the same sequence under 6 other names. The record is from RNAcentral. Lineage: Bacteria; Pseudomonadati; Pseudomonadota; Gammaproteobacteria; Enterobacterales; Enterobacteriaceae.